Molecule: ribosomal RNA, 457 nt
Filed under: uncultured bacterium
Lineage: Bacteria
Description: partial 16S ribosomal RNA
Rfam family: Bacterial small subunit ribosomal RNA
Source: RNAcentral
UGGGGAAUAUUGGACAAUGGGCGGAAGCCUGAUCCAGCAACGCCGCGUGAGGGAUGACGGCCUUCGGGUUGUAAACCUCUUUCAGUACCGACGAAGCGAAAGUGACGGUAGGUACAGAAGAAGGACCGGCCAACUACGUGCCAGCAGCCGCGGUAAUACGUAGGGUCCGAGCGUUGUCCGGAAUUAUUGGGCGUAAAAUGGGCUCGUAGGCGGUUUGUCGCGUCGGGAGUGAAAACAGCGGGCUUAACUCGUUGCUUGCUUUCGAUACGGGCAGACUAGAGGUAUGCAGGGGAGAAUGGAAUUCCUGGUGUAGCGGUGAAAUGCGCAGAUAUCAGGAGGAACACCGGUGGCGAAGGCGGUUCUCUGGGCAUUACCUGACGCUGAGGAGCGAAAGUGUGGGGAGCGAACAGGAUUAGAUACCCUGGUAGUCCACACCGUAAACGUUGGGCGCUAGGUG